Molecule: transfer RNA, 73 nt
Filed under: Pseudomonas sp. FH1
Lineage: Bacteria; Pseudomonadati; Pseudomonadota; Gammaproteobacteria; Pseudomonadales; Pseudomonadaceae
Description: tRNA-Val
Source: RNAcentral
AGUAGCUUACAUAGAUUCCGUGGUCACCUUGACAUGGUGGGGGUCGUUGGUUCGAGUCCAAUCGCGCCUACCA